CAUUCAUUUUAAAGACAUUUAGAAGCAGCCAAGGAGUGGCCCUCCACAUCAGAUGGGUCCAUUCAAAGUAUGUGUUUUCUAGUUUCCUCAAUUCGAUCAUGGGUUUGAAUGUAGUUUCAUCAGGAGCGUAUAUAUAUAGGAAGCGUGAGGGAGACCAAUCCCCUACUCAAUGUCAAUCGGGAAAGGCGAAAUAUGUUUCGCUCUUCAAAAAAGAUCUGUUUCUGCUAAGCUUAUGAAUAUUAUGAUUUAUAUAAACCUGUCUCCGUGCUAUUGUACUAUAACGGCAUAUAUCAUCAUCUAUAGUCGGUAUAUAGGUGCUAUAGAAGCUUGUAUUUACACUACAUUGAUGUGUUCUAUACAUAUUGCAAUACUUUUAACAUUUUUUCAUUCAUUUUAAAGACGUUUACGACAAAAAGAGGAGUAGGACAGCACGUCAGAAGAACACAUGAGGCAAAGUAUGUGUUUUCUAGUUUCCUCAAUUCGAUUACGGGUUUGAAUGUAGUUUCAUGAACAUCCUGAUUUAUAUAAACCUGUCUCCGUGCUAUUGUACUAUAACGGCAUACUCGACGGCAUAUAUCAUCUAUAGUCGGUAUAUAGGUGCUAUAGAAGCGUGUAUUUACACUACAUCGAUGUGUUCUAUAUAGGAUAUUGCAAUACUUUUAACAUUUUUUCAUUCAUUUUAAAGACGUUUACAACAAAUAGAGGUGCAGUGAUGCAUGCCACAAAAACUCAGAAAGGAAAUGUGUUUUCUAGUUUACUUAAUUCGAUCAUGGGUUUGAAUGUAGUUUCAUCAGAAGCGUAUAGGAAGCUUGGGGAGACAAAAGGACUAAUCCCUCUCCAAUGUCAAUCGGAAAAAGCCAGACUCUUCAAAAAAGAUUUGUUCCACCUCAGAAACAUUUUCUGCUAAGCUUAUGAACAUCAUUAUUUACGACAAAAAGAGGAGUAUAACAGCACGUUUACGGCCAAACGAGGAGUGGACCUCCACGUGAGAAGAACACAUGAGGCAAAGUAUGUGUUUUCUAGUUUCCUCAAUUCGAUCAUGGGUUUGAAUGUAGUUUCAUCAGGAGCGUAUAUAUAGGAAGCGUGAGGGAGACCAAUCCCCUAGUCAAUGUCAAUCGGGAAAUUGGACGAGACGAGUGAAAUGGACUUAACAGCCACCGUUGGUAGUGGCAUCCUGUCACUGGGCGGUCAAGAAGAAGCGAGCGACUGCAACAACAACAACAACAACAACAACAACAACAACAACAACAACAGCAACAGCAACAACAACAACAACAACAGCAGCAAUAACAACAGCAGCGAGGAGGAGUGGAGCCAGCUCAGAAAACCCUCGUUUAUCUGUGUCUGUGACUACUGAUACUGAUGAACUUGAAACAUAUGAAGUAAUGCCACUCCAAUCAACACCUGCCUACAGGGAUACAUCUACCCUAGCAACUCUGGCGGUGAGCCCAAUUGCGGGGCCACCGUCAGAAAAAAAAAGAAAAGAAAGGCGAAUGGUAGAAAGGUCUAGAAUCUAUGAACUAUCUCGUCAUCUUUAACACAGAAGCAACUAGAAAUUCGUUUGAUGCUCUGUUCACCAGUCCAUAGGAAAACAUUUCCUUGACCUUGUUUUUAUCCGUUUUUGUGUGAAAGCAUGAAUGAAAACGCAGGGCCGUAGCAACGGG
This 1664-nucleotide long non-coding RNA is filed under the name Paramuricea clavata. Lineage: Eukaryota; Metazoa; Cnidaria; Anthozoa; Malacalcyonacea; Plexauridae. The record is from RNAcentral.